UCAUCCAUCUUUAAAACUAUACCUGUGUUGUAUAUAUCCAUGCAUAUAUUUAGUUGUUUAUCUAUCUAACAACUAGUUAAAUUCUUUACUUGACUAUUCUUAUCUCCAUCUUUCUUGUGUUCACCGUUUCUUGAGAGGUAGAAGCACAUGGUUAUAUAUGAUGAAGCGGUAUACGUCUAUGUAUUUCAUCUAUUCAUAUGUUUAGAGAUCUAUAGUAUGUCACCUACAUUGUACAGCACUUCAUUACACCUCGAUAACUAAUCAUAACACUUUACUCCCGAAACAAAACAGCAGAUCCCAAUUCUUCUAAUUUUUGUGUUUACUUUCAUGCACUUGACAGGGUGAGGCAUUCCUCUGGCGCACCGCUCACGUGACGAGUAGAUUUUCAAGCCGAAUGGCGACGCUGGAAACAUAUCCAUCGGAGCGAAACGAAGUGGGCAGAUGAGUGGUUGAUGAGAGAUUAUGGUGGUGGGGGGUGCUUUUUCACACUCCAGAUCCAAUCCCAAGCUCAAAUGCGCAAAUGAGCGCAGGGGCGAUGAUUCCAAAGCAGGGCUCAGGCUGAGCGUGCUCCCAAAAGUUGUGGCCGCGGAUCGAAGUUAUCCUCAGAUUUUUGAUGCCCCCGUGCCAGGCAUGACUGAGUGUAAGAGAGUGAUGCACAAUCUGUACCCUCCAUCUCCAUCCCCAUCUCCAUCGCCGCCUCUCCCUUAGAACACCCUUGCCCUGUAAAUCUCAUCCCCCGUUGUGCAUGCUCACACAGGGAUGUGAAUUCGUUUGGUAGAAUUGAAUUCACCGCCAGUAAACUCCCCCAUUCUAAUAUGAAGGUAAAUUAUACAAAUUAAUAUAUUAAAGAAAUUAAUAUAUAAGGUCUCGGUCGUUAGUUUUCAUCGCUCAAGUCAAAAGAGGCGCCGAAUGUUUGAAUUUGACUAUGCCGAUGCAGGUAAUUUUGCGUCCAUUUGCAAGGGUCACUUGGUACCAAAAAGGACUCCCGUUUAGGGGCUGUAAUUGAUGCAGUAUUCUUCACUGCACCCACGACAACAAGAUGGAAUAUUGGGAACCAAGUUGCAGAUAAAAUCCAGCUUUGAAGCGAGGGAUCCAGAUUCCAAAAGUGGACGGGAAAGUAUCGUAAGGGUGUUGGAUAAUGACGUUGAUUAAAAGGGUAUUCUACGAAGAGCUAUGUAAGGCCAAAUGCUGCGGGAAGAGGGAGUAAAUUCAAGCCUCUGUCUACGACGAUCUUCCCAAAAGGUCGCUAUCCACUUGCGAUUGCCGUGUUCGUUAAUCCGGCAUUCAUCCAGGGUUCGUCUCUUUAGAAUGCUCUUGUAGGGCCGCUCUGUUUGCUUAGGUCGAGAGCUUCGCUACCUUCGUUUUGAUGUUGCUUUCCUCGGAUCCCCCGCGACGCACUCGGAGCUGAUCGUGCCCCGCGAUCCGCUCUUCAAUCUCACUGGCCUCUAUUUAAUCAUCACUUGCGUAUGCAGGAGGGUCAAAGCCCUCUGCUUGAGCACCCGGAGUCUACUUUGAAGGGAGUAGAGUCUGAAGCAGAGAGGGUCACUGUGCCGUCCCAGGCUGCAGGCUACAGAGGAAAUACUCUGUGGUGGAGUUGGUGUAAUUGCCGAUCUUCUUAAUUUGUCGACACUUUUCAGCCAGAGAGAGAGAGAGAGGCUGGGAGUUUUCUUCGUGGAAGAAUAUUUGGAAUUUUGCAGGAGCUGUUGUAGAUCAGCAGUAAUCUGCAAAUUUUCGGAACGGUGGGAGCAGCUGGAGGCCGGAGUUUACGAGGUCGUUGGCAAGCGGUCUAGGAAGGGUGCUUAUCCCCUCAUUGUGUCAUUAUCAAUCGAGCAAGAAUGGCUCUCAAGGCGAACAUGACACCCCAGCUUGCGGUCUUCGCUUCUCUUCCCUCUACAUUGAUUUCUUCGGGGAGCCGAUCCAUGAAGAUGAUGCCAUUGGGAGGCUUGAGGAAGCCAUUGCGGUGCACACGGCGUCGGAGGGCUGGUAUAGCGAGAGCAUCUGACAUGGCUGAGCCCGAGUCAGCUGGAGCUGGUAAAUCUCCCCCUUCAACAGCUACCCAUCUGUAUUAAAAUAAUCCAAGCUCAACUAGAAUUGUUCUCAUAAUUUUCAUCAUAAUCUCCGCACACCGCUUGGUCUUCAAUACUGUUCGUGUGAGUAAAUUUUACUUGGAUUGUUGUGCAGGUGGCUCUAAUGUAGUGGACUCCAACAUGAUGGUCCUGCGCAAGCGCAUCCAGCACAUCCGCAUCCAAGAGUCGAUCUACGACACGCCCGCGGACUGGUCGGAGUGGGAGCGCAAUGCAUACUCCAGCUACCGUGCCGACGUCUGCCUCUUGCUCAGCACUAUGCAAAGCCAGCUGCUGACGAUGCGCCCGGGCAUGGCCCUGUCCAUCGUAUCAAUCCUCAUGGCUGUCCUUCCUGUCAUGUCCAUCUUAUUCGUCUCCGCUGUGGGCACGCAGCUGUGGUCACUCCACUGCUCUUUGCUAGAAUUGGGCGCUACGCUUCACCAACUGAACUGACAUACUA
This 2523-nucleotide long non-coding RNA is filed under the name Physcomitrium patens. RNAcentral describes it as "long non-coding RNA (PPAT_LNC009659)". Lineage: Eukaryota; Viridiplantae; Streptophyta; Bryopsida; Funariales; Funariaceae. The record is from RNAcentral.